RNAcentral lists this long non-coding RNA (2294 nucleotides) under Anser brachyrhynchus (Pink-footed goose). RNAcentral's name for it is "lncRNA (ENSABRG00000009409.1)". Lineage: Eukaryota; Metazoa; Chordata; Aves; Anseriformes; Anatidae. The record is from RNAcentral.
UCUAGGCUCUUUUAGAAGGCUUUGGAAGUGAAAGAUGUGAUGGACAUAUCCGAGAGAUAGGGUGCCAGAAAAUUAACAGCCAAUGCAUAAUCAAUAUUUCCAGCAUCUAUUGAUUUAUGAAGCAGCCUACAGUCUAUUGGAAACCACAGUGAAGGAUCAUGUAACUACAUCAGGAACACUGAAGAAGAAAAGGAGCCAAAAAGAAGAAAACACCUAUUGGUCUCAAUACAGCAAGGCACGUACAGAUAAGCAUGUAUCCCUGUUUGACAAAGUACUUGAGAAAGAUGCCUUUAUCUUGCUAACCUCAGUGGGAUGUAAGCGUAUAUGUUGUACUCUGAAGCUGGAGCUGCCUACACAGAACUAGCAUCACAGAGCUGGAGACUCCCAGCUCUUCCUUAUUGAUAUUUAUUCUGAUGGGAUGGGAUGGUUCUGAUGGGAUAAUUUUAAAGAACUGAAUUAUGGCUGAAGUCUUGACACUGCCAAUGGUUUUGAAACUGAAGAAGCUAUGGGUGAAAGGACCUUUGUGCCACUUCCAUGCCCCUGGUGCAAAAUAGAAAAUGCAAAAUGAGGUUUUGUUGGUAACCCAGAUUGGCCUGUGGAAGGAUUAAGUCUUGUAGAGAAAGCUGAUAUUAAGAAAAAGUGCUAAUAGCUAUAAUUGUGGUGAGUGUGGAGUGAAGUACAUAGCUAGCUGAACAGCUCAUAAAAAUAAGCUGUUUUUAGCAAGAUUGAAGGACAGGACAAAUGUUACCUUUGCCAGCACAGUAAAAAUGUCUAGCCUUGUCCUUCAUCAAAGGAGUCCCAGGAAAUGAAUCGAAUGCAGUAUGCACAUACUGUUUUUCUGCACAGAAGCAAUGCAAGCUGUAACUAGUGUUGCUGUUGAUUUUAUUGGAGGUGUUAGCUAACUUGACAGUUUGACCUUUCUCUUCUGAUGACAAACACUUGGGAAUAUGCACUAGCAUUUAGCUUGACUUGACUUUUAGUGCUUUAUUUGGUGGUACUGCUGCUGCCUUUUGGCUUUUGUGAGGGAAAGUGCCUUUUUUCUUACAUUCUCAUCUCCACCUGUAAACCAGACCGCAGUGAAGAAACUUCUGCCCUGAAAACAUAAUAUAAAGAUCUCCUUGCUGGCAGGAUGCUGGCUGCUAUUAAGCACAAACAGUCGGUGUCUGAGUAUGAUCAAGUUUUUACCUUAGCCUUAUAAAUAUUCAUUAACUUACAUUUUCACUAAUUGCUCUAGAGAAAGAGAAAAUGUUAAUUUUUAAUCAAUAAUACAGCAUCCUUGAGAACAUUUUACAGUUUAGGAGUUCAUUUAAGUUCCAGCAUAUGUUGUUAAUUUUGGCUGUUACAUGUUAAUUAGUUUGGAUUUUUUUUUAAUCAGGAGUAGCACUAGAAAUGCAAGCUAUGGAACUCAUGUUGACCUAAAAAUUUCUGAGCACUGGUCAAGUAAGAGCUCCUGUGUAGAAGAGGCAGUAUGUAGUUACUCGUUUGAGUUUCCUCGAUGAAGUCAGCUGAUAAGGAAAUUUACUCUUUUUCUUAGUGUAGUUUAACCAUCCGUAUGUGUAAUACUCAGGAAUUUCUUCUGAUUAGUGAUUUCACCAUGUUAAGGCACAAUGAUUAUAAAAUUGAUGGGUUUUUUGAAAGUUAAGUAUUUUAAAGCACACAGAUUUAUUCAUGCAGACUAUCAAUUACUUUGAUAUCCUUUGAAUUAGCAUUAAAGUUAGGGGUCUUUGAACUGAAAGGAUUUCAUUAAUUGCAGGCAAAGAUAUGGAGUCCAUAAUUCCUUUGGAUGGAACUGUCAUGAAUUUUGAAAUAUGGCAGAGGGAGUCAUUAGCAGAGUGCCAUUCACAUUGGCUCAUCAGAAAGGGAGUUUGAUGUGAUUGCCUCAGGCAUAGUACAGAAGGUCAGCACGGGCCAAUACCCUCAGCUAACAGAAAUGUAGAGAGUUCACAGAGCUGCAUGACAGCUAGCUCCAGUAAUCCUGACUCCUCUGUCUAGAUGAGUUGUUUCUCAGGGAGAAACCUAUUGUCAACUGCUCAAGGCUCUUGCCAUUUAAAUUCUUAAAGGGAUUUUAUUUUUUAUUAUGUGACAUUUCUAUAAUAUUCUACAUGACUUAACAUUAUUUUUAGGGGUAGGAGUAAGGUUCGAUUAGAGAUUAAGGAUCAAGAGGAUGACCUGCUCCCUAUUUCUGUGUUUCACUUCCAAUUUUUCUCUGUGUUUAAUGUUUUCCUAGAGUAGCUCCUGUGUAAUUUCACAUAUUGUUAAAUAAAAAUAAUAAUAAUAAUAAUAAUAAAUCUUGC